UGGCAAUGAUGAAAAAAAGGCCGGACUUACGGCUGAAGUUAAAAGAAAAGAAAAGUCAAUUAUGGAGGGCCCU
Small nucleolar RNA from Lycium ferocissimum, 73 nucleotides. RefSeq annotates it as small nucleolar RNA snoR113. The record is from RefSeq and is a predicted model, not a curated record. Lineage: Eukaryota; Viridiplantae; Streptophyta; Magnoliopsida; Solanales; Solanaceae. The transcript has a single exon.